RNAcentral lists this ribosomal RNA (442 nucleotides) under uncultured bacterium. RNAcentral's name for it is "partial 16S ribosomal RNA". It matches the Rfam family "Bacterial small subunit ribosomal RNA", at positions 338 to 795 of the family's 1533-position model. The record is from RNAcentral.
CCUACGGGAGGCUGCAGUGGGGAAUAUUGGGCAAUGGGUGCAAGCCUGACCCAGCAACGCCGCGUGAAGGAAGAAGGCUUUCGGGUUGUAAACUUCUUUUAAUAGGGAAGAGCAGAAGACUGUACCUCUUGAAUAAGCCACGGCUAACUACGUGCCAGCAGCCGCGGUAAUACGUAGGUGGCAAGCGUUGUCCGGAUUUACUGGGUGUAAAGGGCGUGUAGCCGGGCUGACAAGUCAGAUGUGAAAUUCCGGGGCUCAACCCCGGAACUUCAUUUGAAACUGUUGGUCUUGAGUAUCGGAGAGGCAGGCGGAAUUCAUAGUGUAGCGGUGAAAGGCGUAGAUAUUAGGAGGAACACCAGUGGCGAAGGCGGCCUGCUGGACGACAACUGACGGUGAGGCGCGAAAGCGUGGGGAGCAAACAGGAUUAGAUACCCUAGUAGUC